RNAcentral lists this ribosomal RNA (265 nucleotides) under uncultured bacterium. RNAcentral describes it as "partial 16S ribosomal RNA". It matches the Rfam family "Bacterial small subunit ribosomal RNA", at positions 524 to 787 of the family's 1533-position model. The record is from RNAcentral.
GACGAACCGUGCGAACGUUGUUCGGAAUCACUGGGCUUAAAGGGCGCGUAGGCGGGCUGACAAGUCUGGGGUGAAAUGCCGCGGCUCACCGUGGAACUGCCUUAGAUACUGUCGGCCUCGAGGAAGGUAGGGGCAUGCGGAACUGUAGGUGGAGCGGUGAAAUGCGUUGAUAUCUACAGGAACUCCGGUGGCGAAAGCGGCGUGCUGGACCUUUUCUGACGCUGAGGCGCGAAAGCUAGGGGAGCAAACGGGGAUUAAGAAACCC